Molecule: unclassified non-coding RNA, 346 nt
Filed under: soil metagenome
Description: partial contains 5.8S ribosomal RNA, internal transcribed spacer 2, and large subunit ribosomal RNA
Rfam family: 5.8S ribosomal RNA (bases 1-119)
Source: RNAcentral
GAUGAAGAACGUAGCGAAAUGCGAUACGUAAUGUGAAUUGCAAAUUCAGUGAAUCAUCGAGUCUUUGAACGCACAUUGCGCCCCCUGGUAUUCCGGGGGGCAUGCCUGUCCGAGCGUCAUUGCUGCCCUCAAGCACGGCUUGUGUGUUGGGCCCCGUCCUCCGAUCCCGGGGGACGGGCCCGAAAGGCAGCGGCGGCACCGCGUCUGGUCCUCGAGCGUAUGGGGCUUUGUCACCCGCUCUGUAGGCCCGGCCGGCGCCUGCCGAUCAACCCAAAUUUUUUAUCCAGGUUGACCUCGGAUCAGGUAGGGAUACCCGCUGAACUUAAGCAUAUCAAUAAGCGGAGGA